AGAGUUUGAUCAUGGCUCAGGACGAACGCUGGCGGCGUGCUUAAUACAUGCAAGUCGAACGGAAGCAAGGGCUUCGGCCUUUGCUUUAGUGGCGAACGGGUGAGUAACGCGUGAAUAACCUGACUCAAAGAGGGGGAUAACAACCGGAAACAGUUGCUAAUACCGCAUAAGACCACAAUGUCGCAUGACGAAGGGGUCAAAGAUUUAUCGCUUUGAGAGGGGUUCGCGUCCCAUUAGGUAGUUGGAGGGGUAACGGCCCACCAAGCCAACGAUGGGUAGCCGAGCUGAGAGGCUGAUCGGCCACACUGGAACUGAGACACGGUCCAGACUCCUACGGGAGGCAGCAGUAGGGAAUAUUGGGCAAUGGGCGCAAGCCUGACCCAGCAACGCCGCGUGAGGGAAGAAGGUUUUCGGAUUGUAAACCUCUGUCCUAUGUGACGAAGGAAGUGACGGUAGCAUAGGAGGAAGCCCCGGCUAACUACGUGCCAGCAGCCGCGGUAAUACGUAGGGGGCGAGCGUUGUCCGGAAUUACUGGGCGUAAAGGGUGCGUAGGCGGUUUUGUAAGUUGGAUGUGAAAUACCCGGGCUUAACUUGGGGGCUGCAUCCAAUACUGCAGGACUUGAGUGCAGGAGAGGAAAGCGGAAUUCCUAGUGUAGCGGUGAAAUGCGUAGAUAUUAGGAGGAACACCGGUGGCGAAGGCGGCUCUCUGGUCUGCAACUGACGCUGAGGCUCGAAAGCAUGGGUAGCGAACAGGAUUAGAUACCCUGGUAGUCC
This 774-nucleotide ribosomal RNA is filed under the name uncultured bacterium. RNAcentral's name for it is "bacterial SSU rRNA". It matches the Rfam family "Bacterial small subunit ribosomal RNA", at positions 8 to 796 of the family's 1533-position model. The record is from RNAcentral.